UGCCAGCCGCCGCGGUAAUACGGGAGGGGCAAGCGUUAUCCGAAAUGACUGGGCGUAAAGAGUCCGUAGACUGUACUGUAAGUUAUUUGUUAAAUCCUAAAGCCCAACUUUAGAACAGCAUUUAAUACUACUUUACUUGAGUUUUGUUCGGAAGAGUAGAAUUCCACGUUUAGGGAUAAUCCCCGUAGAUAUGUGGAGGAACACCAUUAGCGAAGGCGACUCUUUGGUAAAAACUGACGUUGAGGGGCGAAAGCGUGGGUAGCAAACAGGAUUAGAUA
This 278-nucleotide ribosomal RNA is filed under the name uncultured bacterium. RNAcentral's name for it is "partial 16S ribosomal RNA". It matches the Rfam family "Bacterial small subunit ribosomal RNA", at positions 506 to 784 of the family's 1533-position model. The record is from RNAcentral.